UACAGAGGUCUCAAGCGUUGUUCGGAUUCAUUGGGCGUAAAGGGUGCGUAGGCGGCGAAGCAAGUCAGGUGUGAAAUCCCGGGGCUCAACCCCGGAACUGCACUUGAUACUGCUUUGCUCGAGGACUGGAGAGGAGAUCGGAAUUCACGGUGUAGCAGUGAAAUGCGUAGAUAUCGUGAGGAAGGCCAGUGGCGAAGGCGGAUCUCUGGACAGUUCCUGACGCUGAGGCACGAAGGCCAGGGGAGCAAACGGG
This 253-nucleotide ribosomal RNA is filed under the name uncultured bacterium. RNAcentral describes it as "partial 16S ribosomal RNA". It matches the Rfam family "Bacterial small subunit ribosomal RNA", at positions 524 to 776 of the family's 1533-position model. The record is from RNAcentral.